UGGGGAAUAUUGCGCAAUGGGCGAAAGCCUGACGCAGCCAUGCCGCGUGUGUGAAGAAGGCCUUAGGGUUGUAAAGCACUUUCAAUUGGGAGGAAAGGUUAGUCGUUAAUAGCGGCUAGCUGUGACGUUACCUUUAGAAGAAGCACCGGCUAACUCCGUGCCAGCAGCCGCGGUAAUACGGAGGGUGCGAGCGUUAAUCGGAAUUACUGGGCGUAAAGCGCGCGUAGGCGGUUUAUUAAGUCGGAUGUGAAAGCCCCGGGCUCAACCUGGGAACUGCAUCCGAUACUGGUCGACUAGAGUGCGAGAGAGGGAGGUAGAAUUCCACGUGUAGCGGUGAAAUGCGUAGAUAUGUGGAGGAAUACCGGUGGCGAAGGCGGCCUCCUGGCUCGACACUGACGCUGAGGUGCGAAAGCGUGGGGAGCAAACAGG
Molecule: ribosomal RNA, 429 nt
Filed under: uncultured bacterium
Lineage: Bacteria
Description: bacterial SSU rRNA
Rfam family: Bacterial small subunit ribosomal RNA
Source: RNAcentral